RNAcentral lists this long non-coding RNA (1119 nucleotides) under Gallus gallus (chicken). RNAcentral describes it as "lncRNA (ENSGALG00010003067.1)". Lineage: Eukaryota; Metazoa; Chordata; Aves; Galliformes; Phasianidae. The record is from RNAcentral.
CACGCUGCCCUUGGAGAACAAAUCUCAUGUCCUCAGAGAGGAGGUUGUGAGCAUCCAUGAGUGGAUAUCAGAUGGGCAUCUGUGUGAUGAUGCCACAGAGAAAGGCAUUAACAAACUGCAAAGUGCAGGAUUCGUGCAUUCAUGUCCUUCUAGCUGACCAUUAAGAGCACUUCUCAGAUUAUAUUUUUUUUUUUGAGAGGCAACUAAGUAAUCCUGUCUUUUACAAGAGGAAGGUUUGGGAACAAUUAGUUUUUCUGGGUCUCAAGGACUCUGGUACAAACCCUGCAAUCCGCACACCAGCAGCACUUCCACUUCUCCCAGCAGGCACUCAUUUGAAGGGAUGACCUGAAGCUCACAGAGCUCCACUGGGAGAUGCCUUCUGGAGCCUUUAUCAGCUCAGGGUUGGAACACCCACCACCACCUUUUAUACUGACACCUCCAAGCAGCACUUGGGACUCCUCUUAUGAACACUUUAUAACAUGCAGCUGAAACAGCAGAACUCUUGGCUGACACUGGAGGACUGUACCAAUGGCUGACAAGCAGGGCUUGCUGCAGAACUCCCACAGCAGCCAUUGCUCCACAGAGACAUUGCAACAGCUCCACCUCACAUCACCUUUGGGACAUUCUGAGGCCACAGUUAGCUGGCCUUGUCACCGUCACCUGCCCUUUACUCAGCGCCCGAGUCAGAAACUCAUCCUCUGUGAGCAGCCUUUAUGUUAACGUUUACUGAGCGCACCUUAACAUAUUAAAAUGCAAUCACAAGUUUCCAGCCCAGAACGGGGGUUUGGGGUUUUUUGCCUGCUCACUUAAAAAGCCCUGAAAUCCCAGAAGACACUGUAAAAAUAUGUGGAACUCCACACCUCCGAUGGCCAACACAAGCGUUUUCUAAAUUGCUUGCCUAUCAAAAUCAUAUUUGGAAUUGUGCUCUGUAAGUAUGUGCAAAAUUUACAUUACAAAAGAUGCAGUGUGACAUAAAAAAAAAAAAAGAGUUGCUACAACAGUUCUGAAACACUGCAAUGUGGAAAAGGGGCCUCCGAGGAUUAUUUUUAUUGCCCCUGGGACUCCUGUUGUGAAGUGCCUCAGCACGACAGUGGAAAGCCUACAAUUAAAUAUUUAAAU